Molecule: long non-coding RNA, 1369 nt
Organism: Antechinus flavipes (yellow-footed antechinus)
Lineage: Eukaryota; Metazoa; Chordata; Mammalia; Dasyuromorphia; Dasyuridae
Exons: 3
Source: RefSeq, a predicted model, not a curated record
GCUGGGCUAGCCCAGAAGUUUUGAACUAGUCAGGCUGGCUGAGGGAGGAUCGGUUACCUGCCGGCGGGGUGGGUAGAGGAGGGGCUGAGGAUCUGGACGACGGAGGGGACAGACUGGCCUCCCUGCCCACCACCGGACAGUUUGACAUCCAGAUCCUUAUUCAGUAGAGGAUGCCACAGGCUGCUCAUGUUCAGGAGCUCUUCCAUGAGGAAGCUCAUCAGAUAUCACCCUAGUUGAAGCCUUUCAAUCACAUCUCAACUGGACCAUGUAAAGCUUUCUAAUUGGUCUGCAAGCAAAACCUCUCAUCACCCCAAUUCCUCCUUGAUACAGCUGUCUAAGUGAUUCUCCUAAACCUUAGAUCUAUCUGACGUAUCACUCCUCUCCACCCUUACUCAACAUGGUGGAUAGAAGAAGUGAUACAAGGAGACUCUCAAGGUCUCUCUGAAGAACAUUGGGAUCAUUUGUGUGAAAUGGGAGACACAGGCACAGGACCACCAGCAUGGCCUGCCACAUCCAAAAAGAUGCAAAGCAGAAUUACAAGUGGCUCAGAAGUAGCAUGAGCUAUGCAGGUUCAGAGCUGUCUCCACUCCAACUAUUCAUAUGGACUAUUUGUGCCUAACUUAUGAGAGAGGCUUCCAAGCUUGUAUUGGUCUGAGCAGGCACAGUCAGACACAUUGCAGCUUCGUCCUGACAUAGUGAUAUCAUUUUGGUAAUCUUCAAGAAAGAAAGACAACAACCAAUCAAAUAAAUGUCAAAGGUUAUGGAAUAAAAUAUAAAUUCUUUUGUUGGUAUUGAAGGUUCCUCACAUUCUGGUCCCACAGUAUCUUUCCAGUCUUCUUAGAUGUUACUUCUCAUGACAUACUCUGAUUCAAGCAUCCUGACAUACUUGGUAUUCCUUUCAUGUAACGCCUCAUCUUCCAUCUCCGAGCCUUUCCCUUUCCCUUCUUCCCCCGCCCCUCUACUUUGUAGAAUACCUGGCUUUGUUCAACACUCAUCAACUCCUCUGUCACCUUCUACAGAAGGCUUUUCCUGGUUCUAUUCCAACUCCUACCUCUAGCUGCCAGCCUUCACCUCCAAGGUUAUGUGCCAUCUACUCUGAAUACUUCUAAUAUGUACCUGGUUAUUUACAUGAUGUCUACUCCAGUAGAAUGUAAGUUCCUGGAGACCAGGAACCGUUUUUGUUCCUCUUUGGCACUGGACGGGGGACAUAGCAGUAAGUGUUAAUAAAUGCUUGUUAAUUGAAACAGAACAAAUUGAAUUCCUUUUUAGAUGGAUGGAUCUUUAAGUACUUGAAAUCAAUCACCACAUCCUACUUAAAUCUUAUUUUUGAGAAUACAAUGGUUUCAUCCUAAGUAUUUAUAUCACCAGA